RNAcentral lists this non-coding RNA (24 nucleotides) under Arabidopsis thaliana (thale cress). Lineage: Eukaryota; Viridiplantae; Streptophyta; Magnoliopsida; Brassicales; Brassicaceae. The record is from RNAcentral.
UAUAACUGUGUGGUUGUUGUACAA